GUCUACGAUCAUACUACGUUGAAAACAUCACAUUCCGUCAGAUCUGCGAAGUUAAGAAACGUUAGGCCGGGUUAGUAGCAUGAUUGGACACAACGUGGGAACAUUCGGUAUCGUAGGCU
Non-coding RNA from Trichuris muris, 119 nucleotides. The record is from Rfam. NCBI's taxonomy places the organism in Eukaryota, Metazoa, Nematoda, Enoplea, Trichinellida, Trichuridae.